Molecule: transfer RNA, 74 nt
Filed under: Pleomorphochaeta naphthae
Lineage: Bacteria; Pseudomonadati; Spirochaetota; Spirochaetia; Spirochaetales; Sphaerochaetaceae
Also listed under: 5 other names
Description: tRNA-Arg
Rfam family: tRNA
About the family: Transfer RNA (tRNA) molecules are approximately 80 nucleotides in length. Their secondary structure includes four short double-helical elements and three loops (D, anti-codon, and T loops). Further hydrogen bonds mediate the characteristic L-shaped molecular structure. tRNAs have two regions of fundamental functional importance: the anti-codon, which is responsible for specific mRNA codon recognition, and the 3' end, to which the tRNAs corresponding amino acid is attached (by aminoacyl-tRNA synthetases). tRNAs cope with the degeneracy of the genetic code in two manners: having more than one tRNA (with a specific anti-codon) for a particular amino acid; and 'wobble' base-pairing, i.e. permitting non-standard base-pairing at the 3rd anti-codon position.
Source: RNAcentral
GCCCUGUUAGCUCAGCUGGAUAGAGCACUUCCCUCCUAAGGAAGGGGUCGGACGUUCGAAUCGUCUACGGGGCA